This 31-nucleotide non-coding RNA is filed under the name Homo sapiens (human). Lineage: Eukaryota; Metazoa; Chordata; Mammalia; Primates; Hominidae. The record is from RNAcentral.
UAGAUUGAGGAAAGGCCUAGAAAGGGAAGGU